AGAGUUUGAUCCUGGCUCAGAAUCAACGCUGGCGGCGUGCCUAACACAUGCAAGUCGAACGCGAAAGUCCCGCAAGGGAUCAGUAGAGUGGCAAACGGGUGAGUAACGCGUGGGUGACCUGCCUUCGAGCGGGGGAUAACGUUCCGAAAGGGACGCUAAUACCGCAUGACAUCCUGCCUUUGAAGAGGUGGAGAUCAAAGCUGGGGCUCGCAAGACCUAGCACUCGAAGAGGGGCCCGCGUCUGAUUAGCUAGUUGGUGGGGUAACGGCUCACCAAGGCAACGAUCAGUAUCCGGCCUGAGAGGGCGGACGGACACACUGGGACUGAGACACGGCCCAGACUCCUACGGGAGGCAGCAGUGGGGAAUGUUCGCAAUGGGCGCAAGCCUGACGACGCAACGCCGCGUGGAGGAUGAAGAUCUUCGGGUCGUAAACUCCUUUCGAUCGAGACGAACGGCUUCCGGGUAAACAAUCCGGGAGAUUGACGGUACCGAGAGAAGAAGCCCCGGCUAACUCCGUGCCAGCAGCCGCGGUAAUACGGGGGGGGCAAGCGUUGUUCGGAAUUACUGGGCGUAAAGGGCUCGUAGGUGGCCAACUAAGUCAGACGUGAAAUCCCUCGGCUUAACCGGGGAACUGCAUCUGAUACUGGAUGGCUUGAGAUUGGGAGAGGGAUGCGGAAUUCCAGGUGUAGCGGUGAAAUGCGUAGAUAUCUGGAGGAACACCGGUGGCGAAGGCGGCAUCCUGGACCAACACUGACGCUGAGGAGCGAAAGCCAGGGGAGCAAACGGGAUUAGAUACCCCGGUAGUCCUGGCCCUAAACGAUGAAUGCUUGGUGUGGCGGGUAUCGAUCCCUGCCGUGCCGAAGCUAACGCAUUAAGCAUUCCGCCUGUGGAGUACGGUCGCAAUGCUGAAACUCAAAGGAAUUGACGG
This 929-nucleotide ribosomal RNA is filed under the name uncultured bacterium. RNAcentral describes it as "bacterial SSU rRNA". It matches the Rfam family "Bacterial small subunit ribosomal RNA", at positions 8 to 916 of the family's 1533-position model. The record is from RNAcentral.